RNAcentral lists this ribosomal RNA (482 nucleotides) under uncultured bacterium. Its description in RNAcentral is "partial 16S ribosomal RNA". It matches the Rfam family "Bacterial small subunit ribosomal RNA", at positions 30 to 507 of the family's 1533-position model. The record is from RNAcentral.
AUUGAACGCUGGCGGCAUGCCUUACACAUGCAAGUCGAACGGUAACGGGCCUUCGGGUGCCGACGAGUGGCGAACGGGGGCGUAAUACAUCGGAACGUGCCCGAUCGUGGGGGAUAACGAGGCGAAAGCUUUGCUAAUACCGCAUACGAUCUACGGAUGAAAGCAGGGGACCGCAAGGCCUUGCGCGGACGGAGCGGCCGAUGGCAGAUUAGGUAGUUGGUGGGAUAAAAGCUUACCAAGCCGACGAUCUGUAGCUGGUCUGAGAGGAUGAUCAGCCACACUGGGACUGAGACACGGCCCAGACUCCUACGGGAGGCAGCAGUGGGGAAUUUUGGACAAUGGGCGCAAGCCUGAUCCAGCCAUGCCGCGUGCAGGAUGAAGGCCUUCGGGUUGUAAACUGCUUUUGUACGGAACGAAAAGCCUUCUUUUAAUACAGGAGGGUCAUGACGGUACCGUAAGAAUAAGCACCGGCUAACUACGUG